GAUGAACGCUGGCGGCGUGCCUAAUACAUGCAAGUCGAGCGAAUGGAUUAAGAGCUUGCUCUUAUGAAGUUAGCGGCGGACGGGUGAGUAACACGUGGGUAACCUGCCCAUAAGACUGGGAUAACUCCGGGAAACCGGGGCUAAUACCGGAUAACAUUUUGAACCGCAUGGUUCGAAAUUGAAAGGCGCAUUCGGCUGUCACUUAUGGAUGGACCCGGGUCGCAUUAGCUAGUUGGUGAGGUAACGGCUCACCAAGGCAACGAUGCGUAGCCGACCUGAGAGGGUGAUCGGCCACACUGGGACUGAGACACGGCCCAGACUCCUACGGGAGGCAGCAGUAGGGAAUCUUCCGCAAUGGACGAAAGUCUGACGGAGCAACGCCGCGUGAGUGAUGAAGGCUUUCGGGUCGUAAAACUCUGUUGUUAGGGAAGAACAAGUGCUAGUUGAAUAAGCUGGCACCUUGACGGUACCUAACCAGAAAGCCACGGCUAACUACGUGCCAGCCGCCGCGGUAA
RNAcentral lists this ribosomal RNA (515 nucleotides) under uncultured bacterium. RNAcentral describes it as "partial 16S ribosomal RNA". It matches the Rfam family "Bacterial small subunit ribosomal RNA", at positions 28 to 523 of the family's 1533-position model. The record is from RNAcentral.